This 87-nucleotide transfer RNA is filed under the name Desulfobacterales bacterium. RNAcentral's name for it is "tRNA-Leu". It matches the Rfam family "tRNA". From Rfam's summary of the family: Transfer RNA (tRNA) molecules are approximately 80 nucleotides in length. Their secondary structure includes four short double-helical elements and three loops (D, anti-codon, and T loops). Lineage: Bacteria; Pseudomonadati; Thermodesulfobacteriota; Desulfobacteria; Desulfobacterales. The record is from RNAcentral.
GCCGAAGUGGCGGAAUUGGUAGACGCGCUAGGUUCAGGGUCUAGUGGGGGCUACCCCGUGCGAGUUCGAGUCUCGCCUUCGGCACCA